AAAGUCGUAACAAGGUUUCCGUAGGUGAACCUGCGGAAGGAUCAUUAAAGAUUCUGGCCUCUGUGCCAAACCUCUUCAGCUGUGCGCUUUGGCUGCACGCUGUUGAAACUCUCACACCUGUGCACAACUCGGUUGCGGUUCACUUGUGGGCUGCUUCCGCUUUAUCAUACAACACCAGUCUUGAAUGUCAACAAACUAUAAAAUAACAACUUUUAACAACGGAUCUCUUGGCUCUC
RNAcentral lists this unclassified non-coding RNA (236 nucleotides) under Basidiomycota sp. RNAcentral's name for it is "partial contains small subunit ribosomal RNA, internal transcribed spacer 1, and 5.8S ribosomal RNA". The stretch from base 1 to 47 matches the Rfam family "Eukaryotic small subunit ribosomal RNA", at positions 1785 to 1831 of the family's 1831-position model. Lineage: Eukaryota; Fungi; Basidiomycota. The record is from RNAcentral.